AAUCUUAGACAAUGGGGGAAACCCUGAACCAGCAAUGCCGCGUGAGUGACGAAGGUCUUCGGAUUGUAAAGCUCUGUCCUUGGGGAAGAUAAUGACGGUACCCAAGAAGAAAGCCACGGCUAACUACGUGCCAGCAGCCGCGGUAAUACGUAGGUGGCAAGCGUUGUCCGGAAUUAUUGGGCGUAAAGGGCGAGUAGGCGGCCAGUUAUGUCAGAUGUGAAAGGCUAGGGCUUAACCCUAACAUGGCAUUUGAAGCUGAUUGGCUUGAGUGUAGGAGAGGGAAGUGGAAUUCCUAAUGUAGCGGUGAAAUGCGUAGAUAUUAGGAGGAACACCAGUGGCGAAGGCGACUUCCUGGCCUACAACUGACGCUGAUGCGCGAAAGCGUGGGGAGCAAACAG
This 398-nucleotide ribosomal RNA is filed under the name uncultured bacterium. RNAcentral describes it as "partial 16S ribosomal RNA". It matches the Rfam family "Bacterial small subunit ribosomal RNA", at positions 360 to 775 of the family's 1533-position model. The record is from RNAcentral.